Non-coding RNA from Caretta caretta (loggerhead turtle), 383 nucleotides. The record is from RefSeq and is a predicted model, not a curated record. Lineage: Eukaryota; Metazoa; Chordata; Testudines; Cheloniidae.
UCCAGGCCCCGCCCCCAGGCGCUGCCUCGUCUCGGGUCUCUCGGAGGAGCAGCUGCGGCUCCGCUCCGGGGUCUGUGCUGGGGGGGCCCGUCAUUAACCCCCCCGUGCCCGGCCGGGGGGGGCUUUCUCCAGCUGGGACCAGCCCCUGGCUCUGCCCGCCCCCGACCCGGCUGCAGAACGACGCUCACGUUUCGUUCCGGUUCAUCCCGUCCUCCCAUGGGACAAGGGAGCGACAUGGCUGCAGAGGAGCCAGCUCAGGGGCCGGUGACCUUCGAGGAGGUGGCUGUGUAUUUCACCAGGGAAGAGGGGGCUCUGCUGGACCCCGCUCAGAGAGCCCUCUCCAGAGACGUCAUGCAGGAGACCUGUGAGACUGUGACCUCGCU